GUGUCAGCAGCCGCGGUAAUACAGAGGUGGCAAGCGUUGUUCGGAAUUACUGGGCGUAAAGGGCGCGUAGGCGGUCUUUUAAGUCUUGUGUGAAAUCCCUCGGCUCAACUGAGGAACUGCACGGGAUACUGGAAGACUUGAGUUCGGGAGAGGGAAGCGGAAUUCCGGGUGUAGCGGUGAAAUGCGUAGAUAUCCGGAGGAACACCGGUGGCGAAGGCGGCUUCCUGGACCGAUUACUGACGCUGAGGCGCGAAAGCUAGGGGAGCAAACGGGAUUAGAUACCCCCGUAGUCC
Molecule: ribosomal RNA, 293 nt
Filed under: uncultured bacterium
Lineage: Bacteria
Description: partial 16S ribosomal RNA
Rfam family: Bacterial small subunit ribosomal RNA
Source: RNAcentral